UUAAGCGACUAAGCGUACACGGUGGAUGCCCUGGCAGUCAGAGGCGAUGAAGGGCGUGCUAAUCUGCGAUAAGCGCCGGUAAGGUGAUAUGAACCGUUAUAACCGGCGAUACCCGAAUGGGGAAACCCAGUGUGAUUCGUCACACUAUCAUUAACUGAAUCCAUAGGUUAAUGAGGCGAACCGGGGGAACUGAAACAUCUAAGUACCCCGAGGAAAAGAAAUCAACCGAGAUUCCCCCAGUAGCGGCGAGCGAACGGGGAGGAGCCCAGAGCCUGAAUCAGCAUGUGUGUUAGUGGAAGCGUCUGGAAAGGCGCGCGAUACAGGGUGACAGCCCCGUACACAAAAGCGCAUGUGCUGUGAGCUCGAUGAGUAGGGCGGGACACGUGGUAUCCUGUCUGAAUAUGGGGGGACCAUCCUCCAAGGCUAAAUACUCCUGACUGACCGAUAGUGAACCAGUACCGUGAGGGAAAGGCGAAAAGAACCCCGGCGAGGGGAGUGAAAAAGAACCUGAAACCGUGUACGUACAAGCAGUGGGAGCCCCACCACUAAGCCAGUGGUGAACUCCACAUACGCAUCCUUUGCUGAGGAUACGGUUAACGGAGCGCAAGCGACGUUCAACCUCAAAAGAAGCAGAGGGGGCUUAGUGGUGGGGUGACUGCGUACCUUUUGUAUAAUGGGUCAGCGACUUAUAUUCUGUAGCAAGGUUAACCGUAUAGGGGAGCCGGAGGGAAACCGAGUCUUAAUUGGGCGUUAAGUUGCAGGGUAUAGACCCGAAACCCGGUGAUCUAGCCAUGGGCAGGUUGAAGGUUGGGUAACACUAACUGGAGGACCGAACCGACUAAUGUUGAAAAAUUAGCGGAUGACCUGUGGCUGGGGGUGAAAGGCCAAUCAAACCGGGAGAUAGCUGGUUCUCCCCGAAAGCUAUUUAGGUAGCGCCUCGUGAAUUCAUCUCCGGGGGUAGAGCACUGUUUCGGCUAGGGGGCCAUCCCGGCUUACCAACCCGAUGCAAACUGCGAAUACCGGAGAAUGUUAUCACGGGAGACACACGGCGGGUGCUAACGUCCGUCGUGAAGAGGGAAACAACCCAGACCGCCAGCUAAGGUCCCAAAGUCAUGGUUAAGUGGGAAACGAUGUGGGAAGGCCCAGACAGCCAGGAUGUUGGCUUAGAAGCAGCCAUCAUUUAAAGAAAGCGUAAUAGCUCACUGGUCGAGUCGGCCUGCGCGGAAGAUGUAACGGGGCUAAACCAUGCACCGAAGCUGCGGCAGCGACGCUGAUGCGUUGUUGGGUAGGGGAGCGUUCUGUAAGCCUGCGAAGGUGGCCUGUGAGGGUUGCUGGAGGUAUCAGAAGUGCGAAUGCUGACAUAAGUAACGAUAAAGCGGGUGAAAAGCCCGCUCGCCGGAAGACCAAGGGUUCCUGUCCAACGUUAAUCGGGGCAGGGUGAGUCGACCCCUAAGGCGAGGCCGAAAGGCGUAGUCGAUGGGAAACGGGUUAAUAUUCCCGUACUUGGUGUUACUGCGAAGGGGGGACGGAGAAGGCUAUGUUGGCCGGGCGACGGUUGUCCCGGUUUAAGCGUGUAGGUGUGUGUUCCAGGUAAAUCCGGUUCACUUUAACACUGAGGCGUGAUGACGAGGCACUACGGUGCUGAAGCAACAAAUGCCCUGCUUCCAGGAAAAGCCUCUAAGCAUCAGGUAACAUCAAAUCGUACCCCAAACCGACACAGGUGGUCAGGUAGAGAAUACCAAGGCGCUUGAGAGAACUCGGGUGAAGGAACUAGGCAAAAUGGUGCCGUAACUUCGGGAGAAGGCACGCUGACACGUAGGUGAAGUGAUUUACUCAUGGAGCUGAAGUCAGUCGAAGAUACCAGCUGGCUGCAACUGUUUAUUAAAAACACAGCACUGUGCAAACACGAAAGUGGACGUAUACGGUGUGACGCCUGCCCGGUGCCGGAAGGUUAAUUGAUGGGGUCAGCGCAAGCGAAGCUCCUGAUCGAAGCCCCGGUAAACGGCGGCCGUAACUAUAACGGUCCUAAGGUAGCGAAAUUCCUUGUCGGGUAAGUUCCGACCUGCACGAAUGGCGUAAUGAUGGCCAGGCUGUCUCCACCCGAGACUCAGUGAAAUUGAACUCGCUGUGAAGAUGCAGUGUACCCGCGGCAAGACGGAAAGACCCCGUGAACCUUUACUAUAGCUUGACACUGAACAUUGAGCCUUGAUGUGUAGGAUAGGUGGGAGGCUUUGAAGUGUGGACGCCAGUCUGCAUGGAGCCGGCCUUGAAAUACCACCCUUUAAUGUUUGAUGUUCUAACGUGGACCCGUGAUCCGGGUUGCGGACAGUGUCUGGUGGGUAGUUUGACUGGGGCGGUCUCCUCCUAAAGAGUAACGGAGGAGCACGAAGGUUGGCUAAUCCUGGUCGGACAUCAGGAGGUUAGUGCAAUGGCAUAAGCCAGCUUGACUGCGAGCGUGACGGCGCGAGCAGGUGCGAAAGCAGGUCAUAGUGAUCCGGUGGUUCUGAAUGGAAGGGCCAUCGCUCAACGGAUAAAAGGUACUCCGGGGAUAACAGGCUGAUACCGCCCAAGAGUUCAUAUCGACGGCGGUGUUUGGCACCUCGAUGUCGGCUCAUCACAUCCUGGGGCUGAAGUAGGUCCCAAGGGUAUGGCUGUUCGCCAUUUAAAGUGGUACGCGAGCUGGGUUUAGAACGUCGUGAGACAGUUCGGUCCCUAUCUGCCGUGGGCGCUGGAGAACUGAGGGGGGCUGCUCCUAGUACGAGAGGACCGGAGUGGACGCAUCACUGGUGUUCGGGUUGUCAUGCCAAUGGCACUGCCCGGUAGCUAAAUGCGGAAGAGAUAAGUGCUGAAAGCAUCUAAGCACGAAACUUGCCCCGAGAUGAGUUCUCCCUGAGACUUUAGGUCUCCUGAAGGAACGUUGAAGACGACGACGUUGAUAGGCCGGGUGUGUAAGCGCAGCGAUGCGUUGAGCUAACCGGUACUAAUGAACCGUGAGGCUUAACCUU
RNAcentral lists this ribosomal RNA (3005 nucleotides) under Salmonella enterica. RNAcentral's name for it is "bacterial LSU rRNA". It matches the Rfam family "Bacterial large subunit ribosomal RNA". Lineage: Bacteria; Pseudomonadati; Pseudomonadota; Gammaproteobacteria; Enterobacterales; Enterobacteriaceae. The record is from RNAcentral.